RNAcentral lists this ribosomal RNA (253 nucleotides) under uncultured bacterium. Its description in RNAcentral is "partial 16S ribosomal RNA". It matches the Rfam family "Bacterial small subunit ribosomal RNA", at positions 524 to 776 of the family's 1533-position model. The record is from RNAcentral.
UACGUAGGCAGCGAGCGUUGUUCGGAGUUAUUGGGCGUAAAGCGCGUGUAGGCGGCUUUGCAAGUCGGGUGUGAAAGCCCUCAGCUCAACUGAGGAAGUGCGCCCGAAACUGCAGAGCCUGAGUACCGGAGAGGAUGGCGGAAUUCCCGAAGUAGAGGUGAAAUUCGUAGAUAUCGGGAGGAACACCGGUGGCGAAGGCGGCCAUCUGGACGGAUACUGACGCUGAGACGCGAAAGCGUGGGGAGCAAACAGG